Molecule: ribosomal RNA, 461 nt
Filed under: uncultured bacterium
Lineage: Bacteria
Description: partial 16S ribosomal RNA
Rfam family: Bacterial small subunit ribosomal RNA
Source: RNAcentral
CUACGGGACGCUCCAGUCGAGAAUCUUCCGCAAUGGACGAAAGUCUGACGGAGCGACGCCGCGUGCGGGAUGAAGGCCUUCGGGUUGUAAACCGCUGUCAGUGGGGAGGAAAUGCGCCAGGGUCCUCCCUGGUGUUUGACCGAUCCGCAGAGGAAGCGCAGGCUAAGUUCGUGCCAGCAGCCGCGGUAACACGAACUGCGCGAACGUUAUUCGGAAUCACUGGGCUUAAAGAGUUCGUAGGCGGCCUUUCAAGUCGGGUGUGAAAUCCCUCGGCUCAACCGAGGAAUUGCGCCUGAUACUGUUGGGCUUGAGGGGGAUAGGGGUGAGCGGAACUGAUGGUGGAGCGGUGAAAUGCGUUGAUAUCAUCAGGAACACCGGUGGCGAAGGCGGCUCACUGGAUCUCUUCUGACGCUGAGGAACGAAAGCUAGGGGAGCGAACGGGAUUAGAUACCCGUGUAGUC